This 510-nucleotide ribosomal RNA is filed under the name uncultured bacterium. RNAcentral's name for it is "partial 16S ribosomal RNA". It matches the Rfam family "Bacterial small subunit ribosomal RNA", at positions 28 to 507 of the family's 1533-position model. The record is from RNAcentral.
GACGAACGCUGGCGGCGUGCUUAACACAUGCAAGUCGAACGAAGAGCGAUGGAAGCUUGCUUCUAUCAAUCUUAGUGGCGAACGGGUGAGUAACGCGUAAUCAACCUGCCCUUCAGAGGGGGACAACAGUUGGAAACGACUGCUAAUACCGCAUACGAUCCAAUCUCGGCAUCGGGACUGGAUGAAAGGUGGCCUCUAUUUAUAAGCUAUCACUGAAGGAGGGGAUUGCGUCUGAUUAGCUAGUUGGAGGGGGAACGGCCCACCAAGGCGAUGAUCAGUAGCCGGUCUGAGAGGAUGGACGGCCACAUUGGGACUGAGACACGGCCCAGACUCCUACGGGAGGCAGCAGUGGGGAAUCUUCCGCAAUGGACGAAAGUCUGACGGAGCAACGCCGCGUGAGUGAUGACGGCCUUCGGGUUGUAAAGCUCUGUUAAUCGGGACGAAUGGUUCUUGUGCGAAUAGUGCGAGGAUUUGACGGUACCGGAAGAGAAAGCCACGGCUAACUACGUG